UACUCACAGUUAGAUGCAGUAUGGAGACUA
This 30-nucleotide non-coding RNA is filed under the name Mus musculus (house mouse). Lineage: Eukaryota; Metazoa; Chordata; Mammalia; Rodentia; Muridae. The record is from RNAcentral.